UCUUAGCAUACAUCAAAUCAAACUUAUGAUCAAUCCUCGAGAACACCUCCGCCACACUCGUCGAAUUCGAUAUCAUACAAACCGCCCUCUGCACCUUCGCCAAGUCCCCUCCCGGUACCACCGUCGGCGGCUGGUAGUUAAUCCCACACUUAAACCCCGUCGGACACCAGUCUACAAACUGUAUAGUCCUCUUGGUCUUGAUCGUCGCCACCGCCG
Molecule: unclassified non-coding RNA, 216 nt
Filed under: Hevea brasiliensis (rubber tree)
Lineage: Eukaryota; Viridiplantae; Streptophyta; Magnoliopsida; Malpighiales; Euphorbiaceae
Source: RNAcentral